Pelobates cultripes (western spadefoot toad) is the source of this 205-nucleotide non-coding RNA. Lineage: Eukaryota; Metazoa; Chordata; Amphibia; Anura; Pelobatidae. The record is from the annotation of a GenBank genome assembly.
CCCACAAGCAGGCGCCAAACACAUGCACCAUACACUUUCCUGGCCCUUUUGUCCUCUGGUAUCCCACUUGUGGAGACACCAGAGACAAUUUAAAAGCAAACACAGCACAAGCAUGUUAUUACAUUUGCUUGCGCUGCGCAGAACAAAUACAGGGCCUUUUUCUAAUGCCAGAGCUCUUCAGCGGGGCUCUGGGCAUUGAACCAAC